GUUUCUGCGGAGCGAGCAGCGGACGGAGGAGUUUAUCACCGCACUGUUCCGUUCGCGAAGCGCUUCCUAUGGAGUCAAACAACAGAGAGACCUUGACCACUGUGAUUCAACGCUUUGUCAUCGCAGUCUCUCGGUUCCUCACAUGCCGUUGCUGGGUUGGAUCUGCAGGGGAACAUGAGCCCAGCCUUGCUGAGGAGGAAACAAACCACAGUUCUGUCAGGCCCUGGUGUGUAGAAGAAGAAACAUCAUGGCAUCCAAAUGACAUCAUUUCACAUUGAUGAUUCACUUAUGCAUCAGCACAGACACUUUACAAAUCAGGAAGUUUCACUUUCUGUUGCCUUUGCUGCAGAACACUUCUGACAUGAAGCAUCAGGCAAGCAUCUCUUUAAAGCCAACAUCUUUCACACUGGCGAGAGUUGGGCUCACCUCCUUCAGAGAUCACCUCACUGCAGAUGUGUGCAUCACUGUAAAAAUGGGUGCUGGCAUAUAUGCGUUUCUCUUGAAUUAACCCCUUUCCAAGGCAAGUUUUAAUACACACUUCUAUAACCUAAUAAAAGCUCCAUUAGUUUGCAUUGAAGUGCCUGUAGUUAGUAUGUAAUAAGCCUGAAAUGUUCAGGGGUAAGUGGGACCUACUCUGUCACAUCAGGGUCUAAAAAUAUGAAUCACAGCCAGUAUAUAAAGUCCAGGACCUUGGAAUCAUUGGAUUUUGCACUUCCAGGGAAAAAAAUUAAUGUAAUGUUACAGUGGUCACAGUGGAUAAGUAUUACAGUAAAAAAGUGAUUGAGGUCCACAAGAUGAAAUGUCUUCCAGAGUGGAGUGAUCAGUUUUUUAUGCACUUUAUAAACAUCCACUGGAUCAGAUAAACAAUCGGUGGUUCAGUUCUAUAGCCAUGCAGAUGAUGUCAGUGACCUGAAUAUACUGCAUAUCAGACUCAGGGCUGUAAUAUGAAUAAACAAUAAUUCCCAAAUAUAAAAUUGAAUUGCUUCACAUGUUAAUUUGAAAUGCUCUAUAGAUUAAAUGUGAGGUGAUACAUGUUUGUGUUAAUCUUGACUAUGAUUCAAGUUUUUUUACCUGUAACAUUUAUAGUGUCAGUGUUUUUCACCUCAAUUAGACCUUAAUCUUAAUCUACAAGACCAAUGAAGUUGACCCAUAAAACUGUCCUGCCCCCUCAAAGGUUGUAUUCUUUCUGCUGGCUGCUUAUUGUUGCACGUUUGGAACUUUUCUUUACAUCCUUUUCUUUUUACAAAACAAUUAUAUUUUGUUACUUCUACAGAGCCUUGGUGUUUAGGUGCUUGGUCCUCCUGUUUAGGUGCUUGGUCCUCCUGUAAGUGCCAUAUGUUGUUAUUUAUAUUGUCUUGUUUGUUUUUUGUUUUUUAUUUGUCCCAGCAUGUCAGCGAGGAAAGGAAAAGUAAGGUUGAGCACAAAAAAUGUUUUAAGUAUUAAGAUUUUACAAUCGUGUUUCUUGUUCUGCUAUACCUGGUGCUAAAAAUCUCUGUUAUGGACUUGAUGGAUUGCUGGACAUGGAAGAAAUACAAGGAAAUGUAAUACAGGGAAAGUAUUACACUGAAAUGUUUUGUUUGUUGCACUUUUAAGGCUUUAUUUCAGAUUUUGUUGAGCAUUCUUUUCAUUUGUUAAGUGACUUAUUUUUGUAUUUUGAAAAGCAGUAAAAGCAUAAAGCAGGACUGUGGACUUUUAUUAUCACUCUAUUCAUGAAGCACUUCUUAUGGAGUCUGAUAGCAGAGGUAAGAAGUGACGCAAUUAAAAGUAUUUGACUGAUAGUCCUAAUUCAAGUCAUUUUUAUAAUCUCAGACAAAUAAAAUUUUGGGCAGGCCUGUGGACACACUUUCCAAAUGUGCUAAUGUCCUGCAAUGUCUUGUCAUCAGAUUGUAGCCUAUUCCCAACAGCCAUGCAGUCAUCAACCUGCUCAUUCCCCUAUAACAUUACCAUCAACCAA
This is a long non-coding RNA of Colossoma macropomum (tambaqui), 1954 nucleotides long. RefSeq lists it as uncharacterized. The record is from RefSeq and is a predicted model, not a curated record. The transcript is spliced from 3 exons. NCBI's taxonomy places the organism in Eukaryota, Metazoa, Chordata, Actinopteri, Characiformes, Serrasalmidae.